GCCGCGUGCAGGAAGACGGCCCUAUGGGUUGUAAACUGCUUUUAUACAGGAAGAAACACUCGUACGUGUACGAGCUUGACGGUACUGUAAGAAUAAGGACCGGCUAACUCCGUGCCAGCAGCCGCGGUAAUACGGAGGGUCCGAGCGUUAUCCGGAAUCAUUGGGUUUAAAGGGUCCGCAGGCGGUCAAUUAAGUCAGAGGUGAAAUACCAUAGCUCAACUAUGGAACUGCCUUUGAUACUGGUUGACUUGAGUCAUAUGGAAGUAGAUAGAAUGUGUAGUGUAGCGGUGAAAUGCAUAGAGAUUACACAGAAUACCGAUUGCGAAGGCAGUCUACUACGUAUGUACUGACGCUGAGGGACGAAAGCGUGGGGAGCGAACAGGAUUAGAUACCCUGGUAGUCCACGCCGUAAACGAUGGAUACUAGUUGUUGGGCAUUA
RNAcentral lists this ribosomal RNA (439 nucleotides) under Arctic sea ice bacterium AWS-7B4. RNAcentral's name for it is "bacterial SSU rRNA". It matches the Rfam family "Bacterial small subunit ribosomal RNA", at positions 396 to 832 of the family's 1533-position model. Lineage: Bacteria; Pseudomonadati; Bacteroidota. The record is from RNAcentral.